Molecule: long non-coding RNA, 990 nt
Organism: Triplophysa rosa
Lineage: Eukaryota; Metazoa; Chordata; Actinopteri; Cypriniformes; Nemacheilidae
Exons: 3
Source: RefSeq, a predicted model, not a curated record
AAUGUAGCAGGUGAUACUAGGAGAACUUUGAAUGAAGAUGGCGUGGUCAACCGUAUAAAGGUUCUAGGUAGGAACGGGUUUUAAAACGUGAUUGUUUCCGGCCGGCGGAAAUAGUUGGACGUACAUGGUUCCAUGGAGGAUUCGUAUGUGAUGGUUGGAUGUGGAGAGCAGCUCUGUGGUGCCUGAAAUAGAUGGGCAUAUACGCGGGAGUCUGAAGGAUUGUCAUACUGGUUAUGCUAAAGUGUUGAUAUGUGUGUCUGUUCGGGAUCCUUGAGACAGGGCUGCCGAAUUUAGGGUGACACUAUAGGGCCUAUAUGUUGCUCUUGUUAUUUAUUUGAUUUGUUUUGGUUUAUUGUUUGGUAUAGAUUACUAUUGAGGGUUUGGUUUACUGCUAGUCCGCCUGGGAAACGAGUAAUCAGGCCUGAUGGUAAGGCCUUGAGGGCGGACUAGUUUACUUUAUUUUGUUUGUUUGUUCGUCAGUAAUUUGUUUCUCCCACUGUAUUACUAUGUCAGGGACGGAAGGUAUGGUACGUAGGCAGAGCUGAGCCAUUAAACGCAUGUCUAGUGUGAAGCACGAUGGUGUUAUGAUUUGUUGUGCUGUGAAAUCUGAUUGUAUUUCUUUUUAUUAUUGGUUUGUUUAUUUUGUUCAACGCUCAUGCGCUGCUGAGGUAACAUUUGGACGUCCUGGUACAUAGUUUCUUUUUGUAUAGUGCCACCAAUAAACUUUUGUAAGUUUUACUUGAACCUGUGUUUGUGGCAUAUGUUUACUGAUGGUACUUGGUAACAAAUACAUCAACAUACUGUUAAAAUUCACACAUUAUUGGUUAUUUGUUGCACGCACACCGCACCAAACUCGGUAGAGCGCAAGGGUGUUUGCCAUAAUGGCACGUGACGCACGCACGCACAGACAAGAGAGGAGUCGGAGGGGAACACGCGCGCGCUCGCACCAAAAAGUCAGGAAAGCGAGAGGACGCAGAUGCGCCGAUUAUU